GCUGUCGUCAGCUCGUGUCGUGAGAUGUUGGGUUAAGUCCCGCAACGAGCGCAACCCACGUAUUUAGUUGCUAACGGUUCGGCCGAGCACUCUAAAUAGACUGCCUUCGUAAGGAGGAGGAAGGUGUGGACGACGUCAAGUCAUCAUGGCCCUUAUGCCCAGGGCGACACACGUGCUACAAUGGCAUAUACAAUGAGACGCAAUACCGCGAGGUGGAGCAAAUCUAUAAAAUAUGUCCCAGUUCGGAUUGUUCUCUGCAACUCGAGAGCAUGAAGCCGGAAUCGCUAGUAAUCGUAGAUCAGCCAUGCUACGGUGAAUACGUUCCCGGGUCUUGUACUCACCGCCCGUCACACCAUGGGAGUUGAUUUCACUCGAAGCCGGAAUACUAAACUAGUUACCGUCCACAGUGGAAUCAGCGACUGGGGUGAAGUCGUAACAAGGUAACCGUAGGAGAACCUGCGGUUGGAUCACCUCCUUUCUAG
This 482-nucleotide ribosomal RNA is filed under the name Campylobacter jejuni. Its description in RNAcentral is "bacterial SSU rRNA". It matches the Rfam family "Bacterial small subunit ribosomal RNA", at positions 1048 to 1533 of the family's 1533-position model. Lineage: Bacteria; Pseudomonadati; Campylobacterota; Epsilonproteobacteria; Campylobacterales; Campylobacteraceae. The record is from RNAcentral.